ACGACAGUGGGUUCAGUUGGGAAAACGAAGCGGCGAUGAAGCCCCAAAUCUUAGAAGACGAUUGAGUGAGGGAGUACAGUACAAGGCCCCCGCGAAUUCAACAAAUCGCUUGCUUAAACCCUAGACGACAAGAGCAGCAGCAUUAUCAUAUGGAGUAUCAAAACCCAACAACAACUCAAACCCUAAAUUCUGAUAUCAUUAGCACCCUUCUUCUAAACAUUAUUGAAUAUAUUCUUACUCGUAUGCCAAUCCGAGAUGCACUGGUAUUUGGUAAAAGUACUUGUGUGCAACUGGCAUGCCACAUAAGCUUCCCACUUCACUUGUCCAUCUCAAAAAUCUGUUUUUGCAUGUGUGUUUGGUGGAACAAAGCGUGAUUUCUUCUGCCCUUUGUAUCAUCAGACGCUCCCCUGAACUGAAUCAAAGAUAUCAUUUCCGAAAUUAAUUCGUAGGCCCGUUAAUAACAACCCAAACUUAAUUAGUAAGUGCAGCCCAAGUGACCCAUUUCUAUUUUGGGCCAUGAAAAUGGCCUAAUGGGUGCCUACCUCCUACUCAAGUAGUGCUUGAAAUCAACUUGUAAAACUUAGUUAUUGGAGAACUGCUGAAAACAGUUAUUGGUUGUAUAUCUGGUUUUCUAACAAUUUCCAAAUUCCAAAGAUUGUGGAUUGAUAUUCUCUCCAUGGCUCCAUAUGCAACGUUUCAUGGAUUAACCGGCCACCGGUUCAAGCUCUUACUAUCUGAGUAUCUUCAUUGCUUCAUUUGUGUUUCGUCUUCUGCUGAUUUUCUUUGCCAGAGGUGACUCGUAUUCAGUUUUUUUUUUAACAACCAACUGCUGUACAGCUUUCUAGUUCUUUUCAUGAUCAAUAGUGCUAUAUGAAGAUCAGUUCAGUCCAGUUUAAGAAUUUGAUAUAUAUUUGAUUUUAGUAAAUUUGUGUUAUUGUUCGGAGGCCCCCCAUGUCAUUCCUUUUUAACCCUGAAUCUGAUUCUAGUGUGUGUUUUGUCAACCCCUGACUAUUUGUUGUCGAAUAAGGAAUUUAGGAUUAAGGAGUUUGAUUGUGUUUUUGCAUUCUACCAUGCAGCAGCACUAUUAUAAUAUGGAGCAUCACCCCCCAACAAGAACUCGAAAACUAAAAUCGGAUUUCAUCAGCACCCUUCCCCAAAACAUUAUUGAGGAUAUUCUAACUCGUAUACCCCUCCAAGAAGCACUGAGAACGAGUGUUUUGUCAAAGAAAUGGCGGCAUACUUGGCGGGGCAUGCCUAAACUUGUAUUUACAGACAAUAUGGUUAAUCAUCUUCGCAUACAGUUGAACAAGUAUAAGCUUAUCAGUGCUAUCUUCCAUGUUUUAUUAUUCCACAACGGUCCGACAAUAGUAGAGUUUAGAUGUUCGGUUGGCGAACUUCAUAUGGAGUCUGAGUUUGCCCAGAUAUUAAGUGUUCUUGCAAGGGGAAAUACAGUGAAAGAAUUUAUCUUUAUUAGUGAUAAUAGAUCCAACAAGUUACCGGUUUCUUUCUUUGCAUUGCAAGGAUUAGAACAUGUACAUCUUGAAAAUUGUACUUUGGAACCCCCAUUGACGUUUAACGGGGUUAGUUCAUUGACGGUCAUGAAUUUUCAGAAUGUUGAGGUUUCUGCUCAAGUGCUUCAACAUUUCAUUUCCAAGUGCCCGCUGCUUCAGUCUUUCAUUUUGAUAGAAGUAGGAAAAGGCAUUGAGUCUGUACCAGCUGGAGGAAACAAUUUUACAUUAGUUGAUCUUUUUCAAUGUGUUCCUUUGCUUGAGGGUUUUGGUAUCACAAAGCAUUAUAUGAAGUACUUGUGUGCAGGUGGCAUGCCACAUAAGCUUCCAGCUUCACUAGUCCAUCUCAGUUAUCUGUUUUUGCAUGUGUGUUUGGUGGAACAAAACGAGAUUUCUUCUGCCCUUUGUAUCAUCAGGAGCUCCCCUGUGUUGGGGAGAAUCGUUUUUCUGAUGGAUAAUAAUGACAAAUCGCCUGUUCAACAAACUCCAGCCAACUUUCUUGAUCCAGAAGGCUACCCAGAUUUGAACUUGGAUCAUCUUGAGAUGUUGGAGAUACAUAACUAUAGUAACUUGCCUCUUGAGAUGGAAUUUGUGAAACUAAUCAUCGCCAAGUCACCUGAGCUGGAGGAAGUACGAAUUAGACUGAAUAGCAAUGUUUCUGCUGAUGAAGAGCGGAAGAUGCUUAAAGAAAUGCUACUACUCCCAUUUCCGCGGGCAUCACCUUCUGCUAAAUUAAUCAUUGUGAGCCCAUAAACAUCUUUACAAAGGCUGUAUUUUCCCAACCGCCAGAGUUACCCACCGAAUCCGACCCUGCGGGCAUCAUGCGAAGAGGACCCGCUAGUACUUCUGAGACUCCGGCUUCUGUAAUGAGGCCCUUCGUAAAAACCCCUAUGGCCAAGGUUUGGUGACUUCCAACCCCCCAUUGGAAAUUUUCAAGCUUCGCCACUGCCCACCCCAUCUUGGCCCGACACCGCUGUCAACACCAUUUCGCCAGGCCCGACGUCGUCGAGAACGUCGUGUGUGGGACGACGGAGACGCUCACAAAAGGACAAAAAGUUAGGGCUUUCACCAACAUCCAGCCAUAUACCCAUCACCAACAACAUCCUCUCUCGCCGGAAAAUCAGGCAUCUCCGGCCAAGUACCCAUUCUCUCUCUCUCUCUUGCCGGAAAAGUUAAACUCUGGCCAAGUCGUUCAUCGUUCAUACCGAGCUCAAUUAGGUAAGUUCUUUACACGAUUUUAUUCGUUUACAUCCGUCGAACAAAAGCCCUAACACAAUUCCGAUUAAACUUGCAUGUUUCUGUUCAAUUUGGGGAAUCAAAGGCUAGGGCUUGUUUGAGAUUUAUUUGGGGUAGGGAUGGCAAUCAAACCCGAACCCGAUUGGUAAACCCGAAGCCCAACACAUUUGGGACGGGUUUGGGGUCGGUUAAUGGGGUUUGGGAAUAGUUGUUAUUUUUUUCGCGGGUUUGGGACGGGUUUGGGAUUUAGUUAUAUACCCGUUUACCCGACCCAAUUACCCGAUAAAGUGUACCCGUUUACUCCUUGUGGUCUGUUUUAACACGUUUGUAAUGUUAGUUAUAUAGAUAUUAGUAGGCUUGUGAGCCUCCUCCAUUUGCUA
Helianthus annuus (common sunflower) is the source of this 3124-nucleotide RNA transcript. It is a transcript of the gene named F-box/FBD/LRR-repeat protein At1g13570, with no coding region annotated. The transcript has 6 exons. NCBI's taxonomy places the organism in Eukaryota, Viridiplantae, Streptophyta, Magnoliopsida, Asterales, Asteraceae. The record is from RefSeq and is a predicted model, not a curated record.